Non-coding RNA from Aptenodytes forsteri (emperor penguin), 47 nucleotides. Lineage: Eukaryota; Metazoa; Chordata; Aves; Sphenisciformes; Spheniscidae. The record is from Rfam.
CCAAAGGCUCUUUUAAGAGCCACUCCAUGUACAGUGAAAGGAGCUGU